Molecule: ribosomal RNA, 644 nt
Filed under: uncultured bacterium
Lineage: Bacteria
Description: bacterial SSU rRNA
Rfam family: Bacterial small subunit ribosomal RNA
Source: RNAcentral
AACGGAGCCUUAACCAAAGAAGCAACCAGCUUGCUGGAAGCGGAAAAGGGAAAGGCUUAGUGGCGGACGGGUGAGUAACGCGUGGGUAACCUGGCCCAUACAGGGGGAUAACACUUAGAAAUAGGUGCUAAUACCGCAUAACAACAGAAAGCGCAUGCUUUUUGUUUGAAAACCAAGGUGGUAUGGGAUGGACCCGCGUCUGAUUAGCUGGUUGGCGGGGUAAAGGCCCACCAAGGCGACGAUCAGUAGCCGGCCUGAGAGGGUGGACGGCCACAUUGGGACUGAGACACGGCCCAAACUCCUACGGGAGGCAGCAGUGGGGAAUAUUGCACAAUGGGGGAAACCCUGAUGCAGCGACGCCGCGUGAGUGAAGAAGUAAUUCGUUACGUAAAGCUCUAUCAGCAGGGAAGAAAAUGACGGUACCUGAGUAAGAAGCCCCGGCUAACUACGUGCCAGCAGCCGCGGUAAUACGUAGGGGGCAAGCGUUAUCCGGAUUUACUGGGUGUAAAGGGAGCGUAGACGGCAGUGCAAGUCUGGAGUGAAAGGCGGGGGCUCAACCCCCGGACUGCUCUGGAAACUGUACGGCUGGAGUGCAGGAGAGGUAAGUGGAAUUCCUAGUGUAGCGGUGAAAUGCGUAGAUAUUA